This 497-nucleotide ribosomal RNA is filed under the name uncultured bacterium. RNAcentral's name for it is "partial 16S ribosomal RNA". It matches the Rfam family "Bacterial small subunit ribosomal RNA", at positions 28 to 507 of the family's 1533-position model. The record is from RNAcentral.
GAUGAACGCUGGCGGCGUGCCUAAUACAUGCAAGUCGAGCGAACAGACGAGGAGCUUGCUCCUCUGACGUUAGCGGCGGACGGGUGCGUAACACGUGGAUAACCUACCUAUAAGACUGGGAUAACUUCGGGAAACCGGAGCUAAUACCGGAUAAUAUAUUGAACCGCAUGGUUCAAUAGUGAAAGACGGUUUUGCUGUCACUUAUAGAUGGAUCCGCGCCGCAUUAGCUAGUUGGUAAGGUAACGGCUUACCAAGGCAACGAUGCGUAGCCGACCGGAGAGGGUGAUCGGCCACACUGGAACUGAGACACGGUCCAGACUCCUACGGAGGGCAGCAGUAGGGAAUCUUCCGCAAUGGGCGAAAGCCUGACGGAGCAACGCCGCGUGAGUGAUGAAGGUCUUCGGAUCGUAAAACUCUGUUAUUAGGGAAGAACAAAUGUGUAAGUAACUAUGCACGUCUUGACGGUACCUAAUCAGAAAGCCACGGCUAACUACGUG